AGAUUAAGUUAUUAAGGGCGCACGGUGGAUGCCUUGGCACUAGAAGCCGAUGAAGGACGUUACUAACGACGAUAUGCUUUGGGGAGCUGUAAGUAAGCUUUGAUCCAGAGAUUUCCGAAUGGGGAAACCCAGCACGAGUUAUGUCGUGUUAUCUGCAUGUGAAUACAUAGCAUGCAAGAAGGCAGACCCGGAGAACUGAAACAUCUUAGUACCCGGAGGAAGAGAAAGAAAAAUCGAUUCCCUGAGUAGCGGCGAGCGAAACGGGAAGAGCCCAAACCAAUAAGCUUGCUUAUUGGGGUUGUAGGACACUCUGUACGGAGUUACAAAAGAAUUUGUUAGACGAAUAACCUGGAAAGGUUAAUCAUAGAAGGUAAUAAUCCUGUAGUCGAAAACAAAUUCUCUCUUGAGUGGAUCCUGAGUACGACGGAGCACGUGAAAUUCCGUCGGAAUCUGGGAGGACCAUCUCCUAAGGCUAAAUACUCUCUAGUGACCGAUAGUGAACCAGUACCGUGAGGGAAAGGUGAAAAGUACCCCGGAAGGGGAGUGAAAGAGAACUUGAAACCGUGUGCUUACAAGUAGUCAGAGCCCGUUAAUGGGUGAUGGCGUGCCUUUUGUAGAAUGAACCGGCGAGUUACGAUCUGAUGCAAGGUUAAGCAGAAAAUGUGGAGCCGUAGCGAAAGCGAGUCUGAAUAGGGCGAAUGAGUAUUUGGUCGUAGACCCGAAACCAGGUGAUCUACCCUUGGUCAGGUUGAAGUUCAGGUAACACUGAAUGGAGGACCGAACCGACUUACGUUGAAAAGUGAGCGGAUGAACUGAGGGUAGCGGAGAAAUUCCAAUCGAACUUGGAGAUAGCUGGUUCUCUCCGAAAUAGCUUUAGGGCUAGCCUCAAGUGAUGAUUAUUGGAGGUAGAGCACUGUUUGGACGAGGGGCCCCUCUCGGGUUACCGAAUUCAGACAAACUCCGAAUGCCAAAUAAUUUAACUUGGGAGUCAGAAUGUGGGUGAUAAGGUCCAUAUUCGAAAGGGAAACAGCCCAGACCACCAGCUAAGGUCCCAAAAUAUAUGUUAAGUGGAAAAGGAUGUGGCGUUGCCCAGACAACUAGGAUGUUGGCUUAGAAGCAGCCAUCAUUUAAAGAGUGCGUAAUAGCUCACUAGUCGAGUGACACUGCGCCGAAAAUGUACCGGGGCUAAACAUAUUACCGAAGCUGUGGAUUGUCCUUUGGACAAUGGUAGGAGAGCGUUCUAAGGGCGUUGAAGCAUGAUCGCAAGGACAUGUGGAGCGCUUAGAAGUGAGAAUGCCGGUGUGAGUAGCGAAAGACGGGUGAGAAUCCCGUCCACCGAUUGACUAAGGUUUCCAGAGGAAGGCUCGUCCGCUCUGGGUUAGUCGGGUCCUAAGCUGAGGCCGACAGGCGUAGGCGAUGGAUAACAGGUUGAUAUUCCUGUACCACCAUUAUUCGUUUUAAGCGAUGGGGGGACGCAGUAGGAUAGGCGAAGCGUGCUGUUGGAGUGCACGUCCAAGCAGUGAGAUUGAGUGUUAGGCAAAUCCGGCACUCUUAAGAUUGAGCUGUGAUGGGGAGAGGAACUUGUUCCUCGAGUCGUUGAUUUCACACUGCCGAGAAAAGCCUCUAGCUAGAAUAACGGUGCCCGUACCGCAAACCGACACAGGUAGUCAAGAUGAGAAUUCUAAGGUGAGCGAGCGAACUCUCGUUAAGGAACUCGGCAAAAUGACCCCGUAACUUCGGGAGAAGGGGUGCUCUUUG
This 1758-nucleotide ribosomal RNA is filed under the name Staphylococcus delphini. RNAcentral describes it as "bacterial LSU rRNA". It matches the Rfam family "Bacterial large subunit ribosomal RNA", at positions 1 to 1757 of the family's 2925-position model. The record is from RNAcentral. Lineage: Bacteria; Bacillati; Bacillota; Bacilli; Caryophanales; Staphylococcaceae.